This is a non-coding RNA of Setaria italica (foxtail millet), 71 nucleotides long. The record is from Rfam. Lineage: Eukaryota; Viridiplantae; Streptophyta; Magnoliopsida; Poales; Poaceae.
UUGAGCCGUACGAGAUGAAAUUUUCAUAUACGGUUCUCGGAGGGGGAAUCGGGCUAGUUACCUAUCUCAAU